UAAAUUAAGACAAUGCAGGCAGGAAACCUAUCCCAGAGGGGAAAUGGCACCGCUGUUUAAAGACCAACCGGAAGUCACGUGGUUACUUUAGAAAUUUUUUUUACCCGACAGCAAAUAGCAGACGGGUUUGAUUAGGAACCUGAGUAAUUAGCAUGACUAGAACAAAUGGGUAUUAAGGGGCCAAACAUUGCUUCUCGCCUCAUUAAAAGAAUUACAAGCAAAAGUUUUUUGUUUCUAUCUGGCUUACUAUUAGUAAUUGGUAAUGAAUAUGUUUUACAUUUUGCCCACUAUCUCCAAUGGGCACCUAUCCCUGUGGAAACAAGACAUGAUGGAGACAUGGUGCUCCUCCUUGUUUCAGACCCACAAAUACAAGGUUACCAAAGAGAGCCAGCCUUUCCAGUAGGGUAUUUUUCACGAUGGGAUGCAGACAGGUAUAUAAGCCGUUCAUUUAGUAUGGCAUUUCUCCACUCCUCACCAGAUAUCAUUCUUUUCCUUGGUGAUCUAAUGGAUGAAGGUAGUAUCGCAACCAAUGAAGAAUAUGAGUUAUAUUACCAAAGAUUGCAGAAUAUUUUUCAGGAUGCUGCUGAAACCAAGAAAAUCUAUGUUCCUGGAGAUAAUGAUAUUGGGGGUGAAGGCUUUGACAGAAGAACAAGUGAAAAAAUAUCACGCUUUGAAAGAUACUUUGAAUAUUUAACUGGAGCUGUUAAAUUCCGAUUUGCUUCUUUUUUCAAGUUGGAUGUCCGUUUCUUUGAACCAUUUUUACCCAAGCACAAGAAGAUACUUCAAGAAGUUGGUGAAGAAAUUUACAUGCCAUUCCGAAUCAUUUUGAACCAUGAAUCAAUUUCUCCAAAGCUAAAGAGCCAUGUUUAUCCUUAUUCCUAUGUGUUGCAGCUGUUGAAGCCCAUUCGGCCACACAUGGUCAUAUCUGGUCACUGGCACAAGGCAAAUUUAUUCUUGUGUGAGGAUUGCUUGUCACAAGAAAAUGAUGAUGGUGAUUACUGGCCUGUGACAAGACGUGACCUCACAUCAGAAGAAAACUAUAUUGAAAUCAAUUCUGAUGAGAAAAGUACUUUAGUUGAGAUCAUGGUGCCUACCUGCAGCUAUCGGAUGGGUGAACCUAAGAUGGGUUAUGGUGUUCUGGUUAUAAAUGACAAUGGUAAUAUCAAGUAUAUGACACUGUGGCUGCCACCAAGAUACAUCUCGUUAUAUAUGUAUGCUGGAUAUGCAAUAUUCCUCUGCAUAGUAAUUAUCUGCCAGAUGCUAAGGAAGCUGUUUACAGCUAUGCGGCGAUUGCUAACCCGAACACAGGUCAGUCAUUAUGAGUGAUUAGUGAUUCACAAUGCAAUGCCUUAGUCUCGACAUCAAACUCUAUUGUUAAUAAACUGCCAUCAUCUGAAAUAUAAAUAAAAUAAAAGUGCAAGGCAGCAAAGAGAAAGAAUCUACAUUCCUGAUUUUAUUAUUCAGAAACCUUGAUAAAGAAUGAUGCAUUAUCACCAAGUCAAACCAAACAAGGAAAAACUGUGAUAUUAUUGCUUUGUUUUUUUUUUCAAACAAUUUUAUUAUUUUCAAAAAUUCUAGAAAAUCGUUUUAUUCUCUAAUACAUUCCAUGUUUUUUCUAGAAUCUAUGUAAUCCAUAGAAUGCAACAUAAGCCAAGAUAUUUCUUUUCUUAUAUAUGGACAUCAUAUAUCUUCUCUUCCAAAAUUCCUUUUUAUCUAUAUUUUUUGUUUAUUGCAUAGGUCUGCAAAAUGAAACAUUUUGAUAAUUGUAUGUUACUCUAUAUAUUUUUGUGGUGCUAAUUCAAGAUAUCAAAAAAUCACUUUCCUUUACCUAAGGUUUUCUCACAACUUAAUAAUAGAAUCUACCAUAAUUUGUAGGUAAAUCUGCAAAUGUUAGGACAAAAUGAAGCAAAUAAAAAUUAAUUUGGUACUUUAUUGAGCAAAAUAAAAUGGCACAAAUGCAAUUGAAGUAUAAGAAAGUAGAUUUUUACAAUAAGUUCCAUUCAUCUUUUGGUUCAGCACCUGAAAAUCUCUUCUUUUCCACUUGGGAGUUAUACCUGAAACUCUUUCACUUGUGAGCAUCUGGACAUUCCUAUUGACAUCAAAUUGACAUUCCAUCUUCCCUGAUAUUCUUUCCAUCUCCUUUAUGUCAUGAUGAAACCUUUUUCCUAGCUCUUUACUCACAUUACUCAGAUUUUCCAGAAAGAAAUCCUAAUGGGCAUUUAGGAAAUGAACUUUAAUGCAUAUUUUACAUCCUAAGGCCUCCGAAAUUCCCAGUAUUCUUCCCACUAUGUCUUUGUAUUUUGGAUCCUUGUGAUUACCCUAGAAGUUCUUCAUCGCUUCAUUAAAACUAAUCCAUGCAUCUUUAUAAGAAUCACUAAGAGAAAUUUUCAAAGUUUUCGUCCUUGACAAAUUUCUUAUAUCUGAAAAUACACCCUCUUCAACCUGGACACUUGCUAUAGAAAAAACUUGAAGCCCUCUCCAUCCUGUGGGAAAGCUUUUAUGAAUUGCUUCAUGAGACCAUUUAAUCUUGUGUAAGAAGACACCAAAUUUUCAUGUUUCCUUCAUGAUCACUAAGUGUCCAACAGGGAUGGAAGCAUAUUUAUUAUCAUUUCUUCAAAAAGUCAGUAGAGAGUUUCCAUUUAUCAGGCUGUAACUUAUGCUAAACUUUCCUAUUAGACCUGAUGGAUCUGUUCAAUAAUCCAAAUUAUUUUCUAGAGUGAAAAAAAGGAACAAAUUCUAUCACAGUUAUGACACCAACAGAAUGAUGCAUGCUGUUAUUGUUGAGGCCUGUUCAGUCCAUUAUAUUACUUUCCUUACAAAAUUAGCCUCAAAAUCAUUUAUCCUCAUUAUCUCAAUGGCUUCUGAAUAAGGCACAAGGCUAAUAAUACCAUCAUGUCCAUUAUUUGGCUGGUACUCUAUUUCAAGAGUCCCAAAAUGAUGAAAGGCAAAAUUAACCUUGGCAGGUUUUGAGCUCAGAAUGUUAGCAGAAAUGCUACUAAGCAAUUUUUCCAAUGCUCUAAAUGUUCUGCCAGCUUACUCACUGCUGCCUUUAUUGUCAUUAUCUUAAUAAUGAGUGAGUGAGUUAACAGAACUGGUAGAGUGCUUGACAAAAUGCUUUGUGGCAUUUAUCCCUUGAUUGGCCCUUUAUUGUGUUCAGCUUACACUAGGGUCAACUUUACCUUUCUGCUUUCCAAAUCAAUAAAACCAUCAACAAUUGGAGUUGAUACAACUAAUUAUAGCCCUCCCACAUGAUCUUGAAAAAACAUGGCAAAGUUUGUAGGGUGACAAGCAAAAUAAAAUGUCCUGAAGGAUUUAGUUGUUACUUUAUAUUCCGUGUUCAAAUCUCAUCAGAGUCAACUUUGGUUUUCAACCUUCCUGGGUUGAUAAAAUAUAGUACCAGCCAAAUCCUAAGAUCAAUAUAAGCAAAUCUUGUUUUUCAUUUCAAAAGUGUAGUCUUGUGCCAAUAUUAGAAAUCAUUAUUAUUGUAAGCAUAGCUAACAAAAAACAAGAGGUAACCUCCUGAGGAGAUAAGUCUACUCACCUCAGGAAAGGUACAAACAUCACGUAAACCUAUUCUCUUCACCAAUAAAAUAUAUGGCCUUAUCCUUAAUUAAGGAGUAAAAAUAUGGUUUCUUUAAUUAAUUUAUGACUACUUUUUUUAUUAUAAUGAUUAUACUAUUGUUAUUGAUUAGAUAAGCUUCACACAUUGAAAAUCAUCUUUACUCCUCAAUAUUAUUAGUUCCCCACUCUAACAGAAUGUAAUUCCAAAUAAAAGUAGAGAAUAUCCUUCUAAGAAAGUGUAUUGUAGAGAUUAAUUUAAAAAGCUGAGACACACAAACAUUUAUUUGAUUUAGUGACAUACUAUGCCUGCAUCUCUUGUUGAAGUACUGCACAAUCAGUGAUAGUCUUCAUCGAUUACUGAUAGAUAAACCUUAUUGGCAGCACAGACGUUAUGCCUUUCAUUUCAGUGGUUCAGGUUUGACACAACAAUGAAAUACUACCACUUUCACUGGUUCAAGCACACAGAAGGUAUAGUGUAAAGAAGGGUAGUGAUUCUCUGUUUCCCUGCAUGGAUGUGUCUUCUGUAGAAGUGUUGUAUGGUCAAAGUCAUUGACUAUACCGAUCACCAAUGGAUAAACAUAACUUUAGAAAUCUUCAUCUUUUGGCUUCUUUAUUUCUGUCCCUUUCUUUUAUGUAUAUAUUUUGUAGUAGUUACUAAGUCAUUGUUAAAUUUCAUAGAUGAGUUACCAUUAAAAAAUGUGUUAAUAUAUCUCCUGCUUCUUGAAUAGAAAAAUAUUUUUUGUCUCUAAUAUAUUAUAUGCCAUUUGCUAAAACUUUAAUAACAGACAAGCUACAUAUAAUGUAAGAAGUUGUUACAUUAUUUAAUCUGAAAGCUUAGUUUUUACCAGUUAGGAUAAAAGUCACUUUUUAUAGAUGAUUAUGAGGAAUGUGCCAAAACUAUAACUUUAAAAUGCAGCUACAUAGACUUCAGGUAAAAGAAUGAGAUGUUGAGGCAAGUGAACACAGAGACAUUUAGAUAUGUUACAUAUAAAGUGAAUCUGAUAAAAGGAAUUUCAUGCAUUUGUUGGUUCUUAUUUAUCAAAACCUCCAAAGAACUUCUUUUUUUUUUAUAUCUUUAAAGAUUCAAAAAAUUUCUAGAUUUAUAUAUGUUUCUCAUGAUAUUUGUCUUCAAAAUCUCUUUUUUGAAAAUUUUUUCAUUUAUUAAUUUCAUAACUGUAGACAAUGCGAAUCAUAUAUUCAACAAUAUUUAGGUGAUAACACUAUUAAUAGCAUCUCUAUGUUACUAAUGUAACUCUUUGAAAAAUGUUAACUCAAUCCUGAAAGUUAAUGAAACAUGUGUUAGUCAUAGCAUGACUAUUAUUUAAAGCAGAGAAUUGUUUCCCUGUUGUACCUAUUCAUAGCUUAGUGAUAACAAAUCACUAGUUAAGUCUCACAAAAUUUGAUAUUAAAAAGCAGUUAUAUCCCAAACAUCAUCCAUUCAUUAUACCAAUAAACAAAAGAUACAGAUAGAAUAAGUAAUAGGCUUACUGAUAAAGUCCUGGGGUUGAUUUGUGCAACUAAAAGGCAGUGCUCCAGCAUGGCUGCAGUCAAAUAACAAACAAAUAAAAGUAUAUGUAUAUAUAUAAACAAAACAUUCAAACACUAAGGUUUGAAAUAAGAUGUCACUAUUGUUAAUAUCAUCUGUGGAUAAAAUUAAAAAUUGAUGGUAUCAACACUAGUAACAUAGGUUUGCAGGCAAAAAGCAUUAUUUAGCUAUAAAUUACAAAUCAGCACAAAGCAUAAGGAUGCAGAAAAGCAUCAACCUGCUAGAAAUAAGAGCUAAAGUCUUAAUUAAACCACUGUAAAGCACCAAGGAAACAGAGAAAUAACAGUAGGUGAGGAAACAGAAAGAAUUACUACAUUCAAAAGCACAACUAUGAAAGAUUACGCCAUUUAGGACAUCUACAUACCUGAGUUUCAGCUUUUGGAAAUUUAAUCCUUGAGCCUCUUCAGUGUAGACCACCUAAUAAAAAUUGAAGACCGUCGCAUUAUAUUCCAUUAGUGUACUGGUUUUGUUUUGUAUAAAAGUAUGCAUACUGUCUUAAAAGGGUAUGUCUGUUUAUAGCUCUUCUAAUAUAUAGUUAUAUAUACAUGUAUAUUACUAUAUAUUUAAUAUACAUAUAUAACCAAUAGAAUUAACAAAUAUAAUAUUUGUAAUAUUUCUUUGCACUUUGUAUUAUUAUUGAUAUUUCAGUUUUAGAUAUAUUAUAUAAGGACUUUGAAAAAUUGCAUUUUUCCAAGUCCUUUUAUUGUUUGGGAUUAAAUGCAGUAAUUUCUGCAAAUCUACAGAUCUUUCCAGUCUAUGCUUCCAUAAAUUUAAGAGAUCCACAUCUCUUCCAUUUUCCUGUCUAUGGUUGGUAGAUGACACCCACAAGAAAAAGUCAAAGACUGCACUGUAAGCCAACAAAUAAAAUUGCUAUUUUUAUGUACAACAUUCCCUCUGCUUACAGCUGUGAGACUCUACCAUGAUGUAGUAUCUAUUUACAGCUCGGUGAACUGGGCUUUCAGUUGCUAUGGACCAGUAAAAUUAUAUAAGCUUGAAUGGAGCUGUUACAUUUCAGUAAUUAGCUUGUUAGAGAAUUAUAAAUAUAUCUAUCAAUGUUUCUCUCCACAAUAAGACAACCUUCUUUCCUUUUUUGGAUUUUAAAGAUUAUCUUUGUAUUAUUAUAAAGUUUACUGAAGAAAUUUUUUAUAACUUUGUUUCACUCAUCGUUUAAUUUCAUACUUUUAUGCAUGUUUGCCCAUUUGUCUUUUGAAUCUCUGAUACCAUUCUUAUAUUCUUCCAUUCUGAUUGGACAAAAAUUUCCAUUAAAAACUUUAUCUCUAAAAGCCAUUUUAAGCAACUUCCAAUUUACCACUGUUCUCAACUUUGCUUAUCUAUUCUAAAUCUACAGUUCCUACUUGAGAGAAUGGAUGCCUUGGCACAUAAUGCAAUAAGUAAUAUUGCAGGUAGAAUAACAGAAAUGUCUCCUUGGGCUCGAGUAAAAAUAAAACAAGUUCUACUCUAUGUUAGAGUGAAUAUGUUUAACAAUUAAAUGCAGCCAAUUUGUUAGGUUAUGUACUGAAUCAUAAAAAAAAUGACCAUAUUGGCUGAACAAACAACUCACUGUUAUUGUACCAACACACAGGUGAGUGUAUAAUAAAUCAUAGCAAGCAAUCAUGUCUAAAGAAGAAAAAAUAGACACGACAAUAUUGCUCUAAAUAUAUUUUUCUGUUUCAACUUUUACAGUUUUGUUCACAAUCUGACUGAGUCCUGCACUUCCCCGAUCAUAUAUAGAUGUAGAUAUAUGCGCACACACACACACACACACACAUACACCACAGUAACAAACCAAAUUAAUUUUGGUUGGUUUUGGGGGAAGGCUAGGGUACUGCUUCUGUUGUUUGGUGUCAAGUCUUUAAAUUGUUUAUACAAUCUUGCAGUUGAAAGUAUUAAUUAUUAAUAAAAAGUAUUCUUGUUAUAAAUUUCAAAAAUGACAAUAUUUAUGGAAAAUGUGAUGUACUCCAAGAUGUAAAAUAUGUAUAAAAAAGAAAAUUUUAAAUAAAUCAGAAUACCACAAAU
Molecule: RNA transcript, 7123 nt
Organism: Octopus sinensis (East Asian common octopus)
Lineage: Eukaryota; Metazoa; Mollusca; Cephalopoda; Octopoda; Octopodidae
Exons: 11
Source: RefSeq, a predicted model, not a curated record